UUGUCAAGAUUGAAAAAUGAGACAUCACCAUGAAAUAUGUGAUAGUCAGUCAACAAACCAGCAAAAUCAAAGUGAAGCACUUUUCAUGUUGAUGGAAAAAUGCUCAAAGGUGAAAGAAUGCGAUUUUGACCAAAAUUUUUUAACGCACUUGCAUUUCACUCAUUUUCCUUUCAAAUCUCAACAAACAACAUAGCAUUCCAUAGCUAGAACCUAGAACUCUUUGUUUAAAUAUUUAAAACUACAGUUAUUUAUUCAGUAAUUCACAUACAUCAACAAGUAAAAGUUGGAUUACCUUUUUUUGAAACACCCUGUAUCAAGAACCUAGAUUCCCAGAACGUGGGGUUUCCCUUUGGAUAAAUCAACUUAAAUAUAUAUUUUAUUAAAUACGUGUAUAAUUUAGGAAAAAUAAAAAAAUAAGAAUCAAAGGAAGAUAUCAGAAUUCAGCGCUUUAAUAACUCGUAGGGUAUAUUGCUAUAGAAAUAUCUACCAGUGGUAUAAAAAUAAAUAUUUUGUUGUUCAAUUUCUUUUUCGUUACUCACUACACUACAUAUGAGAUGACAACAGUAAAUAUGGGCAGACACACAUAAUUAGAGUAAAAGCUCCAUUUUUCUUGGCUACAUCACUACCUAAAACAUACAUAAAGAUAAAUUACAUUGUCAGGUGGUCACCAAUGCCAGAUCUAUAAAAACGCUUGUCAGCAAAGGAUUUUUAUUGUGUUUAGUCUUUACAGAAAGGAAUGGAUUUGUGGCUCCAUUUUAAGGAGCAAGAUGCUUUGUUAGCCCUGGCUUUUGGCAAAGCAAAUCUUGUGGGCUUUUCAGCAUUUCAAAAGGAGAUGUUACAUGAUCAUGGUUGCUGUAAGAUCAGUAUUUAUUCUCAUUAUACAAGAAAAUGACCCAACAACUUUCAUUUUAAGGAACUUCACAACUUCUGAAUAGCUAGAUAUUGCAAACUAAACUCAUAAAUAUACUUU
This is a long non-coding RNA of Xenia sp. Carnegie-2017, 970 nucleotides long. RefSeq lists it as uncharacterized. The transcript is spliced from 2 exons. The record is from RefSeq and is a predicted model, not a curated record. Lineage: Eukaryota; Metazoa; Cnidaria; Anthozoa; Malacalcyonacea; Xeniidae.